RNAcentral lists this small RNA (752 nucleotides) under Pongo abelii (Sumatran orangutan). Its description in RNAcentral is "sense overlapping". The stretch from base 10 to 285 matches the Rfam family "SOX2 overlapping transcript exon 3". The record is from RNAcentral. Lineage: Eukaryota; Metazoa; Chordata; Mammalia; Primates; Hominidae.
GGAUUGCAGUGGCAAAGCUAGGCUAGGUCUUGGAGGCUGGUGUAAGGCGAUGCGGGUGAAGGCAGGAGGCUGAUGGAAAGACUGGGGGGAAGAAAAGCCGAAAUGGAUUCACGGUGCCUUGGAUGAAGGACGAGAGGGGAACUGCAAGCUCCUUCAACUGGUUCUGUCCGGUGAGAAGUGAUCAAGCUUGGGCUGACAAGAGGCUCAGGGAGCCCUCACGUUCUUUCGCUUUUUUACCUGCCAAUCAAACUGCUACAAGACAACACCCUGAUCUGGCAUGGACAUUCAUUGCAGUCACCUGGAGUCGCGGAAAUGACCAUGAUUGCCUGAACUUUCAUAACUUCUGUGGUUGCAGAAAAGAGAAAACCUGGACUGUGAGGGACAUUUUACUCCCUGACCUUUGUCUCAAUACCUUCACAGAUGUGAAGAACUAGCAACAAAAUGACUUAGACAGCAACGUGAUUCCUAGAGAAUGGCAAGACCAAUUCUUCAACUACUUCUUCAGCAUUUCUGAAACAGUUGGAAGAUGGCCCAUAGUGCUCUCUUAAUUCUUUGAUAAUUUGGACAUUGACCUUUCCAUUAUAUGACCUGGGCUUGUGGGCAUCAUGUCGUAAUGUGCCUGUUCAGACAUCUCCCUGUACCAAUAUGGAUCACUUGAAGAGACUCCUUUGCCUCCAUCAAAAAGGAUACAGUUGUGUAUCUCUUUCAUUUUUGUUUACAGUGCCUAAAAUUAUUUGAGCAGUUUUUCACCU